AAUAGCUACUCUCGAAGUUCGAACUCCGACAACAUGGCUCGCGCUUCGUUCGCGCGCCCAUUCAAGUUUUGUUGUUUGCACUUGCUUAGAAGGUGACAUUGCGGGGUUGGGCUUGAUGACAUUUGUUGCCCAGCUGCCGCGACGCAUUUGGAGCAAACGUGAGUGUCGUGCGAUUGCCCGUUCUCUAGCUGACACUUGUAAAAACAACCGGUUGCGCAUUUGAGCUGUUGCCGAUGUGAUCUCGAAAUUCGAAGGAGUGCGAAACGGUUGUCGCAGGUCUCGCAGUGAUCGCAGGAUAAUUUAUUCGUUCGUGCCUUCAACAAGUACUACUGCAGUUCCUAUGCGUUGCCCCGAUGUAAAACGAACGGCGGAAGCUUUCGCGCGCCAGAAAAUGCAUGCACUCACUAGCUGUAUCGGUGAAUGCCGUCCUUUGGUAUAUAUCUCGUGUGUAGGUCUUUGUUUCUUCAUCUCUAUGGGAUGACUACGCUAUGCGCCUCUUAUUUACCCAUGCAACACAUGGCUGCAUUCAAUUACCUUGUUCACUGCUUGCGCUGACCGCGGUAGGUGCGUCAGAGGCUUUCAUUUGUUGCAGUGAGAUAACGAAAGCGUAUUUCUUUCACUUACAGCUUCUUAGCCACUCUUUUGAGAGCCGUGGAGGUAAAUUGUGCAAUGUAUACGUUGUGAGCAAGCUGUUAAACAAACCCGCUUUACUGCUGCUGUCGCUUUUACGGGCAGCUUCAAAAUUAAACAUAAAUGAGUGUAUAAAUCAGCUCACCUUUCUAUAAACGUCCGUUCAUUUCGUUGUUCGUAGAUCAUGUGCGUACCUUUGCAACCGUAAUCGACAUUCUAAAAACAAUAGGAAGGCAGAUGACACAAAUACUGUGUCUGCCUCAAUUGCUGUCUGUGCUGUUUUAUCAACCAACUCCACACACGUGCUGUUUACAGCAAAACAAUCUUUUUUUUUUUCUUGUAGGAGAAUUUGCUUCUAACUGUGGCAGUGACGUUGUGUAUUGUCCCCAGGAACGCUUGCGGUGUGCACAUUUGUCUAAUUUGUUUCACUGUGCUGCUGCUGUCUUUACAGCUUCUGCUUAUUUCUUCUGGCCGCACCUUAUAUUUGUUGUCUUUGUCAACAUCUGACCUGUUUCUGCCUUGUUGAAAGCAAGUGGCCACAAGUACUGCUUAUUUUGCUCAGUCUAAACCUGGUAGUGCAUCCAGUUUAGUGCCGUGCACAUGUGUGGGGCAUUUCCUUGUUCUUAUUCUGCUGAUGUGUCGUGUUGUACAUAGGAGGAAAGCCGGUCCUCCACAAUAUGAUUGUCAGUGCUGCUGAAUACAACACAGUCUUGCUGCCUUGACACGCCACAUCAUUUGACAUCUGGGGGUUGCCACCAGCCAACAGCUGAUAACCUGGUAUAUUCAGGUGACACACUACAAGGAGCCAAGGAGCACCUGAGGGCCCAGAGGAAACUCAAGGUAUCCAGGGAGCAUCCGAGAGCCUAG
Molecule: long non-coding RNA, 1497 nt
Organism: Dermacentor silvarum
Lineage: Eukaryota; Metazoa; Arthropoda; Arachnida; Ixodida; Ixodidae
Exons: 3
Source: RefSeq, a predicted model, not a curated record